AUGGUGAGAGGAAAAACUCAGAUGAAACGUAUAGAGAAUGCAACAAGCAGACAAGUUACAUUUUCAAAGAGAAGAAAUGGUUUGUUGAAGAAAGCUUUUGAACUAUCUGUUCUUUGUGAUGCUGAAGUUGCUCUUAUCAUCUUUUCACCAAGAGGAAAACUUUAUGAGUUUUCUAGCUCCUG
Non-coding RNA from Vicia faba (fava bean), 182 nucleotides. Lineage: Eukaryota; Viridiplantae; Streptophyta; Magnoliopsida; Fabales; Fabaceae. The record is from the annotation of a GenBank genome assembly.